RNAcentral lists this ribosomal RNA (853 nucleotides) under Salmonella enterica. RNAcentral's name for it is "partial 23S ribosomal RNA". It matches the Rfam family "Bacterial large subunit ribosomal RNA", at positions 711 to 1481 of the family's 2925-position model. RNAcentral also lists the same sequence under 2 other names. The record is from RNAcentral. Lineage: Bacteria; Pseudomonadati; Pseudomonadota; Gammaproteobacteria; Enterobacterales; Enterobacteriaceae.
AGACCCGAAACCCGGUGAUCUAGCCAUGGGCAGGUUGAAGGUUGGGUAACACUAACUGGAGGACCGAACCGACUAAUGUUGAAAAAUUAGCGGAUGACCUGUGGCUGGGGGUGAAAGGCCAAUCAAACCGGGAGAUAGCUGGUUCUCCCCGAAAGCUAUUUAGGUAGCGCCUCGUGAAUUCAUCUCCGGGGGUAGAGCACUGUUUCGGCUAGGGGGCCAUCCCGGCUUACCAACCCGAUGCAAACUGCGAAUACCGGAGAAUGUUAUCACGGGAGACACACGGCGGGUGCUAACGUCCGUCGUGAAGAGGGAAACAACCCAGACCGCCAGCUAAGGUCCCAAAGUCAUGGUUAAGUGGGAAACGAUGUGGGAAGGCCCAGACAGCCAGGAUGUUGGCUUAGAAGCAGCCAUCAUUUAAAGAAAGCGUAAUAGCUCACUGGUCGAGUCGGCCUGCGCGGAAGAUGUAACGGGGCUAAACCAUGCACCGAAGCUGCGGCAGCGAACGUAUCACCCAAGACAACUUUACGGAGUUGACGAUUGACGGAGCGAAGCGACGUCAAAGCGUUCAUUAAAGUCGAGUUGGCUUAGGGAUACGUUCGUUGGGUAGGGGAGCGUUCUGUAAGCCUGUGAAGGUGUGUCGUGAGGCAUGCUGGAGGUAUCAGAAGUGCGAAUGCUGACAUAAGUAACGAUAAAGCGGGUGAAAAGCCCGCUCGCCGGAAGACCAAGGGUUCCUGUCCAACGUUAAUCGGGGCAGGGUGAGUCGACCCCUAAGGCGAGGCCGAAAGGCGUAGUCGAUGGGAAACGGGUUAAUAUUCCCGUACUUGGUGUUACUGCGAAGGGGGGACGGAGAAGG